This 394-nucleotide ribosomal RNA is filed under the name uncultured bacterium. RNAcentral describes it as "bacterial SSU rRNA". It matches the Rfam family "Bacterial small subunit ribosomal RNA", at positions 28 to 413 of the family's 1533-position model. The record is from RNAcentral.
GAUGAACGCUGGCGGCGUGUCUAAGGCAUGCAAGUCGAACGGACUGUUAUUUGUAGCAAUACUUAGAACAGUUAGUGGCAAACGGGUGCGUAACACAUUGGUAACCUGCCUCAAAGUCGGGCAUAAUCCCACGAAAGUGGGACUAAUUCCACGAUAGUCAUCGAAGGUGAGAUUCCUUCGAUGUAAAGUCGCAAGACGCUUUGAGAGGGGCCUAUGGCCUAUCAGCUUGUUGGUGAGGUAACGGCUCACCAAGGCUAUGACGGGUAGGGGGUGUGAGAGCACGACCCCCCUCACUGGGACUGAGACACUGCCCAGACACCUACGGGUGGCUGCAGUCGAGAAUAUUCCCCAAUGGCCGAAAGGCUGAGGGAGCGACGCCGCGUGCAGGAAUAAA